RNAcentral lists this ribosomal RNA (400 nucleotides) under uncultured bacterium. RNAcentral describes it as "bacterial SSU rRNA". It matches the Rfam family "Bacterial small subunit ribosomal RNA", at positions 356 to 773 of the family's 1533-position model. The record is from RNAcentral.
GGGGAAUAUUGGACAAUGGGCGCAAGCCUGAUCCAGCCAUGCCGCGUGAGUGAUGAAGGCCCUAGGGUUGUAAAGCUCUUUCACCGGUGAAGAUAAUGACGGUAACCGGAGAAGAAGCCCCGGCUAACUUCGUGCCAGCAGCCGCGGUAAUACGAAGGGGGCUAGCGUUGUUCGGAAUUACUGGGCGUAAAGCGCACGUAGGCGGACAUUUAAGUCAGGGGUGAAAUCCCGGGGCUCAACCCCGGAACUGCCUUUGAUACUGGGUGUCUGGAGUCCGGAAGAGGUGAGUGGAAUUCCGAGUGUAGAGGUGAAAUUCGUAGAUAUUCGGAGGAACACCAGUGGCGAAGGCGGCUCACUGGUCCGGUACUGACGCUGAGGUGCGAAAGCGUGGGGAGCAAAC